Molecule: long non-coding RNA, 1097 nt
Organism: Astatotilapia calliptera (eastern happy)
Lineage: Eukaryota; Metazoa; Chordata; Actinopteri; Cichliformes; Cichlidae
Source: Ensembl
CGAGAAGGGCUUUGCAGAUACAGCUAAAUGCUAAAAAGUUUCAAUUCAUGUUGUUUGACGUGUUCCCUCACCCUGAGCCUGUUACGUUAGAUGGCCGCUCCAACCUAAACCUGAUUUUGCUGGAAGUUUGUUCCAGUUAUAAGGGAUUUUUUUUCUUUCCACUGUCACCAAGAACAUUCAACCAUGUAGGCUCCUAAGAGUUCCAACAACUGAAUCACUGUCUAUCAUGUUGAAUUGCCUUUUUCAAGUAUCCCCAAGUGUUAUUUACUUUUAUUUGUAAAAUGGUAAGGGUUAAAAUACCAGGGCUGUUUGCAUUUUAUGGAGUGUGUGGAUUUUUAGCCCUCUUUCUAAGCUGUUAUCAUACUAAAAGCCAUGAGUCAAAUAGGUCUUCAGUCAGAUAUUUGACUAACACAUGUUUUUCAAACAUUUGUCUCUUCUUGCUGUUGUCUUGGAGGUGGAUUAAUGAAGCUGGGAUACUCCCAGGUUUCACAAUGCCUGGCUAGAUAAUGGAUAUGAGUGCCUAUUAGCAGAAGAAGAAAACACAUUGUUAACAUCCAGCUGCGGCCAAUUUUUAUGAGUCAUCAAACUCUUUGGAAGACUCAGGAGCUCAACACAAACACAGGCAGUUGAUUAAUUGUUCGAGUAGUUGCACAUACUCAUAAUGUACACUCCAUAUGUUGGCCUGAAUCUGCCUGUGACAAGCUGACAGACUGACUGCACUUAGACGUUUUGGGCUACUGUAAGGUUGGUGGUUGGAGAAGAGUGGAAUACAUUUUUCACAAGGAAAGUGAACUGUGUUAGGCUCCUCUGGAAUUGCAUAUGAAUGUAUGAAGAUGGUAGAAAAUGAUUAGCUGCUUAAAUGCAGUAUUUUAAAGACACGUUUUUAUGUUCUGGCUUUUAGGACAUGUUGACCUAAACAUUUUGGUUUUAACAGCCUUAGCUGAGUUGUUUUAGUUGUUUUUAUUGACUUUUUUUUUUCCUUCUAUAUUUUUCUGCAUCAUUGUUGUGCAUUUUAUUUAUGUUAGUGGGAUUUUACAUUGUUAAUCACUUUGUGCAGCAUGGACUGUUGGAAAUGUGCUAUCUAAAUAAACUUGACC